The submitters of this non-coding RNA (110 nucleotides) gave its source as unclassified sequences. The record is from Rfam.
CCCGGACCGGGAAGCGAUGAACCGUCGGGCGUCGACCGGUCGCCCUGGGAUGACCUUCGUGCCAUCUCACACCCGACGGGGAGCAAGAGGCGAGACCGACCCGGCUGUCG